Molecule: long non-coding RNA, 293 nt
Filed under: Phoenix dactylifera (date palm)
Lineage: Eukaryota; Viridiplantae; Streptophyta; Magnoliopsida; Arecales; Arecaceae
Description: long non-coding RNA (PDAC_LNC006205)
Source: RNAcentral
UAACGAAAUCAUGAUGUCCCAUGCAACUUGAUCCUUGUCUUACGGCCUUCUAUUUUGGGAUUUUGAUAGUAACUCUAGAGGGCUCAACCUUAUUGCUUGAAAUUUUCAUUGCAUUAUUGAAAUGUCAAAUACCAUCAAUCCUCAUGCCAUAUGGCAUACUACUUAAUAUGCCUCAGAACUGAUCACAACCGACGUGGCAGACCGAUCAAUUAGAGCUCGCUAUGAAGCCUCCAAUUGAUUAGUCAAAAACUACUACAUGGUUGAUUUAUGGGCAUGUGGGGAACCCUUCGAAG